Molecule: ribosomal RNA, 226 nt
Filed under: Ostreococcus sp. 'lucimarinus'
Lineage: Eukaryota; Viridiplantae; Chlorophyta; Mamiellophyceae; Mamiellales; Bathycoccaceae
Description: partial Bacterial large subunit ribosomal RNA
Rfam family: Bacterial large subunit ribosomal RNA
Source: RNAcentral
UCGCUAGGCGUUGUGGAGUCGUUGUUGAAAUACCACCCUUUGCUUAUCUGAAGCCUAACCUCUAACGAGGAACAGUGCGUGGUGGGUAGUUUGACUGGGGUGGUCGCCUCCAAAAGAGUAACGGAGGCUUCUAAAGGUACCCUCAGCACGCUUGGUAACCGUGCGUAGAGUGCAAUGGCAUAAGGGUGCUUGACUGAGAGACAUACAGGUCGAUCAGGUUGGAAAC